Molecule: ribosomal RNA, 247 nt
Filed under: uncultured Actinomycetales bacterium
Lineage: Bacteria; Bacillati; Actinomycetota; Actinomycetes; Actinomycetales
Description: partial 16S ribosomal RNA
Rfam family: Bacterial small subunit ribosomal RNA
Source: RNAcentral
ACUGGUACUCGAGUGGCGAACGGGUGAGUAACACGUGGGUGAUCUGCCUUGCACUCUGGGAUAAGCUUGGGAAACUGGGUCUAAUACCGGAUAGGAACCGUCUUUAGUGUGGUGGUUGGAAAGUUUUUCGGUGCAAGAUGAGCUCGCGGCCUAUCAGCUUGUUGGUGGGGUAAUGGCCUACCAAGGCGUCGACGGGUAGCCGGCCUGAGAGGGUGUACGGCCACAUUGGGACUGAGAUACGGCCCAG